This 253-nucleotide ribosomal RNA is filed under the name uncultured bacterium. Its description in RNAcentral is "partial 16S ribosomal RNA". It matches the Rfam family "Bacterial small subunit ribosomal RNA", at positions 524 to 776 of the family's 1533-position model. The record is from RNAcentral.
UACGUAGGGUGCAAGCGUUAAUCGGAAUUACUGGGCGUAAAGAGCUCGUAGGCGGUCUGUCGCGUCGGCUGUGAAAACCCGGAGCUCAACUCCGGGCCUGCAGUCGAUACGGGCAGACUGGAGUUCGGCAGGGGAGACUGGAAUUCCUGGUGUAGCGGUGAAAUGCGCAGAUAUCAGGAGGAACACCGGUGGCGAAGGCGGGUCUCUGGGCCAAAACUGACGCUGGGGAGCGAAAGCGUGGGGAGCGAACAGG